GCCUCCUUGGCUCAGUUGGUUGGAGUGCCGAGAAAUCUGUUCUUGGAGGCGAGGGUUCGAAUCCCUCAGGAGGCA
Hymenopellis radicata is the source of this 75-nucleotide non-coding RNA. The record is from the annotation of a GenBank genome assembly. NCBI's taxonomy places the organism in Eukaryota, Fungi, Basidiomycota, Agaricomycetes, Agaricales, Physalacriaceae.